UCACACCUUGAAAUUGUAAAAUAGAUAAGAGUUGGGAUGGGCAAUCCCACUUCUGGGAAACACUCUAGCUCAUGACAGUCUUUUAUUUCUAAGUAAGUUAGAUGCAAAAGCCUAUCACUUUGCAACUCUAACAAUUGUUUUGUGCAAAAGCAAAUUGUAAGAGUUCUAAAUGAAUCAGGGAACUUGCCAAUCGGAUAGGACAUGUGAGAUGAACAUCCUUCAA
RNAcentral lists this unclassified non-coding RNA (223 nucleotides) under Hevea brasiliensis (rubber tree). The record is from RNAcentral. Lineage: Eukaryota; Viridiplantae; Streptophyta; Magnoliopsida; Malpighiales; Euphorbiaceae.